This is a non-coding RNA of Caenorhabditis elegans, 73 nucleotides long. NCBI's taxonomy places the organism in Eukaryota, Metazoa, Nematoda, Chromadorea, Rhabditida, Rhabditidae. The record is from the annotation of a RefSeq genome assembly.
GAACUUUUGGCUCAACUGGUAAGAGGGAUACCAAUGGAGAAAUAGGUCAUGGGUUCGAUUCCCAACGAGGCCA